RNAcentral lists this small RNA (504 nucleotides) under Fusarium oxysporum. RNAcentral's name for it is "eukaryotic LSU rRNA". The stretch from base 179 to 332 matches the Rfam family "5.8S ribosomal RNA". The record is from RNAcentral. Lineage: Eukaryota; Fungi; Ascomycota; Sordariomycetes; Hypocreales; Nectriaceae.
UCCGUAGGGUAACCUGCGGAGGGAUCAUUACCGAGUUUACAACUCCCAAACCCCUGUGAACAUACCACUUGUUGCCUCGGCGGAUCAGCCCGCUCCCGGUAAAACGGGACGGCCCGCCAGAGGACCCCUAAACUCUGUUUCUAUAUGUAACUUCUGAGUAAAACCAUAAAUAAAUCAAAACUUUCAACAACGGAUCUCUUGGUUCUGGCAUCGAUGAAGAACGCAGCAAAAUGCGAUAAGUAAUGUGAAUUGCAGAAUUCAGUGAAUCAUCGAAUCUUUGAACGCACAUUGCGCCCGCCAGUAUUCUGGCGGGCAUGCCUGUUCGAGCGUCAUUUCAACCCUCAAGCACAGCUUGGUGUUGGGACUCGCGUUAAUUCGCGUUCCUCAAAUUGAUUGGCGGUCACGUCGAGCUUCCAUAGCGUAGUAGUAAAACCCUCGUUACUGGUAAUCGUCGCGGCCACGCCGUUAAACCCCAACUUCUGAAUGUGACCUCGGAUCAGUAGA